GGAUACGACCAUACUUAGCUGAGUACACCAUAUCCCGUCCGAUUGUUGAGUUAAGCAGCUACAGGCCUAGUUAGUACUGGGGUCAGUGAUGACUUCGGGAACCCUCUGAGACGUUGCCA
RNAcentral lists this ribosomal RNA (119 nucleotides) under Strigomonas culicis. The record is from RNAcentral. Lineage: Eukaryota; Euglenozoa; Kinetoplastea; Trypanosomatida; Trypanosomatidae.